RNAcentral lists this ribosomal RNA (492 nucleotides) under uncultured bacterium. RNAcentral's name for it is "bacterial SSU rRNA". It matches the Rfam family "Bacterial small subunit ribosomal RNA", at positions 28 to 507 of the family's 1533-position model. The record is from RNAcentral.
GAUGAACGCUAGCUACAGGCUUAACACAUGCAAGUCGAGGGGAAACGACAUCGAAAGCUUGCUUUUGAUGGGCGUCGACCGGCGCACGGGUGAGUAACGCGUAUCCAACCUGCCCACCACUUGGGGAUAACCUUGCGAAAGUAAGACUAAUACCCAAUGACGUCUCUAGAAGACAUCUGAAAGGGAUUAAAGAUUUAUCGGUGAUGGAUGGGGAUGCGUCUGAUUAGCUUGUUGGCGGGGUAACGGCCCACCAAGGCAACGAUCAGUAGGGGUUCUGAGAGGAAGGUCCCCCACAUUGGAACUGAGACACGGUCCAAACUCCUACGGGAGGCAGCAGUGAGGAAUAUUGGUCAAUGGGCGAGAGCCUGAACUAGCCAAGUAGCGUGCAGGACGACGGCCCUAUGGGUUGUAAACUGCUUUUAUAAGGGAAUAAAGUGAGUCUCGUGAGGCUUUUUGCAUGUACCUUAUGAAUAAGGACCGGCUAAUUCCGUG